AUGAUUCUGGCUUCACCCAGCUGCUUGGAAAGGAGCUUGCAGGAAGGUCUGAUGCUGAAGCUGAAUCUGCAGUCAUUGGAAAAGACCCUGAUGCUGGGCAAGAUUGAAGCCAAAAGGAGAAGGCAGCAGCAGAGAAUGAGAUGGUUGGAUGACAUCACUGACUCAAUGGACAUGAAUUUGGGCAAAAUCCAGGGGAUGGAGAAGGUCAGGGAAGCUGGGCAUGCUGCAGCCCAUAGGGUCACAAAGUCAGACACGACUUAGCAACUGAACAACAGCAAAACAUGGGCACCUAAUUUGAAAAACAAAAUACUUUAGAAGCCAAACAAAACAUGUCUGCUAAAUGCAGUCUGCAACUCUGGCUAAACUAGUGGCCAACUUGAGCAACACCAGAUAAAAAGAUGUACAGGUAUAUCACAGAGGAGUGUUAAGAAGAGCUGCUUAUCAGACAUUCUGGCUAUACCGCUACUGGGUGAUUACAAUCCAUCUAAAAUAUUGAAUGUUUAUGUUAAUGGUGAAUAAAUACAGUCUAUGAUUUUAUCAUCUCUAGUGUUUUACAUUGAUGGUAAUUGAUAAUUACUUCCCACUGCCGUUUCUGAAACACUCCGGGGUAGGAGCUGAGCUUUGAUGUGCUCUUUUGAAUACAUGUGUGCUGUACGGGAAACAUCUGAGUCAGGACCCUGCUAGGCCACGACUCGUUUCAUAUGUGUGUUUCAUGUUCAUGACUUUUUGUGGUUCAAAAUCACGUCUUGCGUCUUUUGUCUCAAUCAUUCAGGGUAAGGACAAAAUGAAAAUGAAAAAGUCUUAUGAAAUGAAAAAUGAUGAAAGUCUUAGACAAGAGUUCCCUUGAGAAGGAACCGCCACCGCAAGCAGUUUGUUCUCCUCUCACACUGAUGUUGCAUCUUUAAUCUCUCCUUUUCGGAGAGACAAUGAAUGAUCAACGUCACCAGUCACCGCGGGCCUUCGCGCUCCGUGAUUUAGACUCUCACUAGCUGAGAGCAGGGCAGAAGGAGGAUUUGACAACUUUGAACUUUCUAUGUGCUUUUUGCCUUCGCCACAGUUGUUAUUAGAGUUCUAAAAAGGCAACAG
RNAcentral lists this long non-coding RNA (1086 nucleotides) under Capra hircus (goat). RNAcentral describes it as "lncRNA (ENSCHIG00000001417.1)". The record is from RNAcentral. Lineage: Eukaryota; Metazoa; Chordata; Mammalia; Artiodactyla; Bovidae.